CAGUCGCCACGGUAAUACGAAGGGGGCUAGCGUUGUUCGGAUUUACUGGGCGUAAAGCGCACGUAGGCGGAUCGAUCAGUCAGGGGUGAAAUCCCAGAGCUCAACUCUGGAACUGCCUUUGAUACUGUCGAUCUGGAGUAUGGAAGAGGUGAGUGGAAUUCCGAGUGUAGAGGUGAAAUUCGUAGAUAUUCGGAGGAACACCGGUGGCGAAAGCGGCUCUCUGGUCUGUAACUGACGCUGAGGUACGAAAGCGUGGGGAGCAAACAGGAUUAGAGACCCGAGUAGUCCCUGUCUCUUAUAC
This 301-nucleotide ribosomal RNA is filed under the name uncultured bacterium. RNAcentral's name for it is "partial 16S ribosomal RNA". It matches the Rfam family "Bacterial small subunit ribosomal RNA", at positions 509 to 807 of the family's 1533-position model. The record is from RNAcentral.